Empidonax traillii (willow flycatcher) is the source of this 816-nucleotide RNA transcript. It is a transcript of the gene named G protein-activated inward rectifier potassium channel 1 pseudogene, with no coding region annotated. The record is from RefSeq and is a predicted model, not a curated record. The transcript has a single exon. NCBI's taxonomy places the organism in Eukaryota, Metazoa, Chordata, Aves, Passeriformes, Tyrannidae.
GGGCUGCGGGGGCUCGGCGGGGCUUUGCGGGGGUCGCGGAGCAUGUCGGCGCUGCGGCGCAAGCUGGGGGACGACUACCAGGUGGUGAGCACCUCGGCCAGCGGAGUGGGGCUGCCGCCCCCCAGGGCCGCCCCCCGCGGGAAGCGCCAGCGCUUCGUGGACAAGAACGGCCGGUGCAACGUCCAGCACGGCAACCUGGGCGGAGAGACCAGCCGCUACCUGUCCGACCUCUUCACCACCCUCGUGGACCUCAAGUGGCGCUGGAACCUCUUCAUCUUCAUCCUCACCUACACGGUGGCCUGGCUCUUCAUGGCCUCCAUGUGGUGGGUCAUCGCCUACAUGCGGGGCGACCUCAACAAGGCGCACGACGACAGCUACACCCCCUGCGUGGCCAACGUGUACAACUUCCCCUCCGCCUUCCUCUUCUUCAUCGAGACCGAGGCCACCAUCGGCUACGGCUACCGCUACAUCACCGACAAGUGCCCCGAGGGCAUCAUCCUCUUCCUCUUCCAGUCCAUCCUGGGCUCCAUCGUGGACGCCUUCCUCAUCGGCUGCAUGUUCAUCAAGAUGUCCCAGCCCAAGAAGAGGGCCGAGACGCUGAUGUUCAGCGAGCACGCCGCCAUCUCCAUGCGGGACGGGAAGCUCACCCUCAUGUUCCGCGUGGGGAACCUCCGCAACAGCCACAUGGUCUCGGCGCAGAUCCGCUGCAAGCUGCUCAAGGUGAGGGACGCGGCCCCCGGGGGGGAAAGGGGCAGGGCUGGGUUGGGUAUUAGGGAGAAUUCCUUCCUGGGAAGGGCUGCCCUGCCCGGGGCAGCG